RNAcentral lists this ribosomal RNA (253 nucleotides) under uncultured bacterium. Its description in RNAcentral is "partial 16S ribosomal RNA". It matches the Rfam family "Bacterial small subunit ribosomal RNA", at positions 524 to 776 of the family's 1533-position model. The record is from RNAcentral.
GACAGAGGUGGCAAGCGUUGUCCGGAAUUACUGGGCGUAAAGCGCGCGUAGGCGGUUUGGUAAGUCCUGUGUGAAAUCCUUCGGCUUAACCGGAGAGGGUCACAGGAUACUGCUAGACUGGAGUGUGAGAGGGGAGAGCGGAAUUCCGAGUGUAGUGGUGAAAUACGUAGAUAUUCGGAGGAACACCGGCGGCGAAAGCGGCUCUCUGGCUCAUUACUGACGCUGAGGUGCGAAAGCGUGGGGAGCAAACAGG